RNAcentral lists this ribosomal RNA (449 nucleotides) under uncultured prokaryote. Its description in RNAcentral is "bacterial SSU rRNA". It matches the Rfam family "Bacterial small subunit ribosomal RNA", at positions 355 to 796 of the family's 1533-position model. The record is from RNAcentral.
UGGGGAGUAUUGGACAAUGGGCGCAAGCCUGAUCCAGCAAUGCCGCGUGUGUGAAGAAGGCCUGCGGGUUGUAAAGCACUUUCAGUAGGGAAGAAAAGCCUAGGGUUAAUACCCCUGAGUCUUGACGUAACCUACAGAAGAAGCACCGGCUAACUCCGUGCCAGCAGCCGCGGUAAUACAGAGGGUGCAAACGUUGUUCGGAAUUACUGGGCGUAAAGAGCGUGUAGGCGGCACGUUAAGUCGACUGUGAAAGCCCAUGGCUCAACCAUGGAAGUGCAGUCGAUACUGGCAUGCUAGAGUCCCGGAGAGGGUGGUGGAAUUCCCAGUGUAGAGGUGAAAUUCGUAGAUAUUGGGAGGAACACCAGUGGCGAAGGCGACCACCUGGACGGGUACUGACGCUGAGACGCGAAAGCGUGGGGAGCAAACAGGAUUAGAUACCCGCGUAGUCC